This 1505-nucleotide ribosomal RNA is filed under the name uncultured bacterium. RNAcentral describes it as "bacterial SSU rRNA". It matches the Rfam family "Bacterial small subunit ribosomal RNA". The record is from RNAcentral.
AGAGUUUGAUCAUGGCUCAGGACGAACGCUGGCGGCGUGCUUAACACAUGCAAGUCGAGGGGGGGUAGCAAUACCUCACCGGCGAACGGGUGCGUAACACGUGAGCAACCUACCGAUUUGUGGGGGAUAGCCGGCCCAACGGCCGGGUAAUACCGCAUACGCUCUUUUCGGGGAUUCUCGAGGAGAGGAAACCUCCGGGGCAAAUCGAGGGGCUCGCGGCCUAUCAGCUAGUUGGCGGGGUAAUGGCCCACCAAGGCGAUGACGGGUAGCUGGUCUGAGAGGAUGGCCAGCCACAUUGGGACUGAGAGACGGCCCAGACUCCUACGGGAGGCAGCAGUGGGGAAUCUUGCGCAAUGGUCGAAAGACUGACGCAGCGACGCCGCGUGCGGGAGGAAGCUCUUCGGGGUGUAAACCGCUGUUGCCCGGAACGAAACUCAGGAUUCGUCCUGAUUGACGGUACCGGGUGAGGAAGCGCCGGCUAACUCUGUGCCAGCAGCCGCGGUAAUACGGAGGGCGCGAGCGUUGUCCGGAAUCACUGGGCGUAAAGGGCGCGUAGGUGGCGACAUAAGGCGGUGGUGAAAGUCUGGGGCUCAACUCCAGAUCGGCCGCGGCGACUGUGUUGCUUGGGCACCGUAGAGGCAGAUGGAAUUCCGGGUGUAGCGGUGGAAUGCGUAGAGAUCCGGAAGAACACCAGUGGCGAAGGCGGUCUGCUGGGCGGUGAGCUCGCAAGGGCUCAAGAGCCGACACUGAGGCGCGACAGCGUGGGGAGCAAACAGGAUUAGAUACCCUGGUAGUCCACGCCGUAAACGAUGGGCACUAGGUGCUCCGGGGAGCGACCCUUGGAGUACCGGCGCUAACGCAUGAAGUGCCCCGCCUGGGGAGUACGGCCGCAAGGCUGAAACUCAAAGGAAUUGACGGGGGCCCACACAAGCGGUGGAGCAUGUGGUUUAAUUCGACGCGACGCGAAGAACCUUACCAGGCCUUGACAUCCAAUGAACUUUCCAGAGAUGGAUUGGUGCCUUCGGGAACAUUGAGACAGGUGCUGCAUGGCUGUCGUCAGCUCGUGUCGUGAGAUGUUGGGUUAAGUCCCGUAACGAGCGCAACCCUUGUCCUUAGUUACCAGCACGUAAUGGUGGGCACUCUAAGGAGACUGCCGGUGACAAACCGGAGGAAGGUGGGGGUGACGUCAAGUCAUCAUGGCCCUUACGGCCUGGGCUACACACGUGCUACAAUGGUCGGUACAGAGGGUUGCCAAGCCGCGAGGUGGAGCUAAUCCCACAAAACCGAUCGUAGUCCGGAUCGCAGUCUGCAACUCGACUGCGUGAAGUCGGAAUCGCUAGUAAUCGCGAAUCAGAAUGUCGCGGUGAAUACGUUCCCGGGCCUUGUACACACCGCCCGUCACACCAUGGGAGUGGGUUGCACCAGAAGUAGCUAGUCUAACCUUCGGGGGGACGGUUACCACGGUGUGAUUCAUGACUGGGGUGAAGUCGUAACAAGGUAACCGU